Molecule: unclassified non-coding RNA, 283 nt
Filed under: Hevea brasiliensis (rubber tree)
Lineage: Eukaryota; Viridiplantae; Streptophyta; Magnoliopsida; Malpighiales; Euphorbiaceae
Source: RNAcentral
UGAGGUUUUGGGAGGUGGGUUUGAAGGCAAGAGGAAGGAAAGGAAGUUGGAGAGAGAAAGCGAGGUAGCCAUAGAUGGAUAGAUUGAGGGAGUCCUCGGCUAUGCUCCGGGGAUACGAGUUGUAUUUCGUUUUUCUGGUCUGGUGUGUGGCUGGCUUCUUGUUUUGGGUUGGGUUUGAUUUGGUUCGACAGGCUUUGAUGACCAAGCCCAAUUGGCCAAUUCUACUGGCAGCCCAACAAUUUGUAAAAUAGUAAUUUGUAAGCCCAAUUGGUUUGUAGUAAGG